RNAcentral lists this ribosomal RNA (462 nucleotides) under uncultured bacterium. Its description in RNAcentral is "partial 16S ribosomal RNA". It matches the Rfam family "Bacterial small subunit ribosomal RNA", at positions 29 to 507 of the family's 1533-position model. The record is from RNAcentral.
AUUGAACGCUGGCGGCAUGCUUUACACAUGCAAGUCGAACGGUAACAGGCCGCAAGGUGCUGACGAGUGGCGAACGGGUGAGUAAUGCAUCGGAACGUGCCCAGUCGUGGGGGAUAACGCAGCGAAAGCUGUGCUAAUACCGCAUACGAUCUAUGGAUGAAGGCGGGGGACCGAAAGGCCUCGCGCGAUUGGAGCGGCCGAUGUCAGAUUAGGUAGUUGGUGGGGUAAAGGCCUACCAAGCCAACGAUCUGUAGCUGGUCUGAGAGGACGACCAGCCACACUGGGACUGAGACACGGCCCAGACUCCUACGGGAGGCAGCAGUGGGGAAUAUUGCACAAUGGGCGGAAGCCUGAUGCAGCGACGCCGCGUGAGGGAUGACGGCCUUCGGGUUGUAAACCUCUUUCAGCAGGGACGAAGCGUAAGUGACGGUACCUGCAGAAGAAGCACCGGCUAACUACGUG